GGUUUCCCUAUGUGGCCCUGGCUGUCCUGGAACUCACUCUGUAGACCAGCCCCCAAACUCAGAGGGCUGUCUGCCUCUGCCUCCCAAGCGCUGGGAUCAAAGCCCUAUCCCUGCUCCCCUCCCAGUCCUCCCCUCCCUUUCUCCUCCCCCCCACCCCGUCCCCUAUUCCUCAGAAAAGGGGAGCUCCCUUUCCCAUCCAGCCCAGCUCAUCAAGUUGCAUCGGGACUGAGCAUGUCCUCUUCCCCUGUGGCCUAGCAAGGCAGUCCUGCCAGGGGAAAGUGACCAGAAAGCUGGCAAUUGAGUCUGUGCCGGAUGCAGUCCCCACUUCCCUGGAGCUGGCGUGGGACUCGGCGAGAUCUGCCUGCCCUUGCCUCAUGAAUGCUGGCAUCGAAGGCAUGGGCUGCCAUGUUCAGCCCAAAUAUCAACUUUUGUUUGUUUGUUUGUUUGUUUAAAUUACACUUAGUGUUUGUGUGCACACAUGUGAAUUCAUACACCGCAGUGCACCUGUGGGGUCAGAGGACAACUUGUGGGAACCCAUUCUCACCCUCUAUAAUGCAGGCCUUGGUGUCACCGGGCUUGGCAGGGGGUGCCAUCACUCUUCCUGCCGCCUCCCCACUGUAUAUCAAUUUAAUGAGGGUGAAUUACAGGCAAAUAAAUAACUUCUAAGAAAGA
This is a long non-coding RNA of Psammomys obesus (fat sand rat), 672 nucleotides long. RefSeq lists it as uncharacterized. The record is from RefSeq and is a predicted model, not a curated record. Lineage: Eukaryota; Metazoa; Chordata; Mammalia; Rodentia; Muridae. The transcript has 2 exons.